ACUAAUGAACCAAGGAAACUCUAGUGAAAACUACAUUUCUGGUGAGUUUCUCUAGCCUUCUCCCAAGUUAUUUUGAAUCCUGUAAGUCCAUGGCUAUAUAUAGAUGAAUGCCAUCAGGAAAUGAGGCUUGAAACAUCCCUUUUACAGCUGCUAAUUGGUUGUCAUACGUUCAUCCAUAGCUGUAAAUUGUUGAAGGAGAAAACAGGUUGUACCAGCAGCUAUUUUUGACCAGAAUCUGGCUACUUCAACUGCUAUUUUCUCUAUGAUGACGGCUGAAUUAGCUCUUGUACAAAACAUAGAAGUUGUAGUCCAUUGAAAUAGCUGUCCAAUUCCUCAAGAAUCAUCCAAUUUGGAGCUGUUUAGACCGAGAUAUGAUAAAAAUACCACUGACUGGUCAAUUCCGCGUUUUCAACUCUCAGCAGCAGACUUUUACUUCUGUAUUUUGACAUUUUGACCAGGAAAACAGCCGAAUUGGACUUUGAUGUCUUUAUACCAAAUGUAGAUCUGUCUCUUAGCUUCGAAAAUGGUUCAAGAAGCAUCUCAAUCCAAUGUAUGUAGCCCAAGAUAUAGCCAAAAUACCAACAGAUGCCAAAGCUGACUUUUCUUGAUUCAAAUUGCAUUUUUCCUUUUACACUUCAUAUUUUAUUUUCACCACUUUAAUCCAUCUUCAAUCAUCCAAAUAUCUUCUCAAUGCAGUUCAUUUGAUGAUUGAAUCAUUAAACCUACAAAAUAUGAAGUUUUUACCAUAAAAAUCAAUAGAAAUGCAAUUUUCACACUUUAACCACAAAAUGCAUAUUUUUACUAGAAUCUUAGUUAAUUAUUUAUAAAACUAAAUAAAACACACCAAAACUAAUUAAUAAAGCACACUAAAAAUACGUAAAAUAUACUCUUAUCAAAUACCCCCACACUUGAACCAUUGCUUGUCCUCAAGCAAUAAGAAAUACAAACCGACAAUGAUCCAAAAUUUGAAAAUAAGCAUAUGUAGCAUUUCAACUUCAUUUCCUCAAAACAAAGUAAAUAACCAUUAUGCAAUUUAUUCAAUUAAGUUCAAGUACUCAUAAUAUCAAGUAAAGGAGAGCCAAUUAUACCGUCAUUAUAACAAAUUCAAAUCAAUUUUUCAUCCUUACCCAAUCUUACAAGUAAGUAACUCAUAUGGUCAAUAAAAUGCUUUCUAAACUCAUGAUCAUCUUUUUAUUCUACUUAAACAGAUAUUUAUUAAUAUAACGUAGCUAAAUAUUACUUAAGUUGUGAAAGUAUCUUUUUACGCGAUGAUCGACAUUUUUAGAUGAAAAUCACCGGUUACUCAACACUUCACAUACUCAAGUUGCUUUGCAUACUCUUAAUUCAAGUACCGUUUUACGCGAAAGUCGACAUUUUUAGAUGAAGACACCCGGUUACUAAGUACAAGAAUCAUUGGAGUAGAACAAAUCUUAUUCUAUUUUUGUCUUUUUCUUUUGUUUCUUCAUUUUUUUUUUUUUUAGUAAAGAGAAUAAUAAUUUUCUAAAAAAAUAAUCAUGUGAAGAGUAUUGCACUUAUUGACCAUAUUUAUCACUUAACUAUAUAAAAUCAAGUAAAGAAAAGAAAUUUCAUUAAAUAUGCAAAGAAAUAGGCAUAAUUUUCUCCACUUCACAAGAUAUAUUUUCCUACAAAUGCAAAAUUAUAAUCACAUAAUAGUCAUUUCCAAGUUAAAUGAGAAAAGAAGUUUCCAAAUCAUAUAUAUUUAUCUCAAAUGUAGAAGGAAUUUGAACUACUAAUGGUAUGGAACUUUGUUACCCCUUUGGAUGAAAUUUAAAAUUUAAAAUUUUUGGGGCAAAUUUGCAAUUUUGGACAAGAUGUUAGAAAAAUUUUGAAUUUUAACACAAGUCCAAUAUUUGCAACUAAUAAGUCAAUCACAUACAAUAUAUAUAAUCUCAAUUCUCCCCCCACACUUAACAUACACAUUGUCCUCAAUGUGUAAAAAGGAAAAUUAAGAUAAAGAAAGUAAUACUCCCCUAUGAUGUGAUUGAGUAUGAAGCUUCAAGGUACGUUGUUCGCCUUUCUUCAUCGCUUCAUGAGUUCCAUUUGGAUAACCAUUACUAAUAAUAAUCGAAACAUAGAAAAUAAGAAACAAAAGUGAUAACAAAGGCUUAAUAAAACAAAACGGCGAUCCGUAAUUUCAAACCUUUGUUUUGGUGAUGUACCUAUAUAAAAUAUACAAUAAGCAACUCAAGGUACAAGAAAAUAUAUGAGGAAAAGAAGAAAAAGAGAAUCAAGGAAACUGCAUUUUUUUUUUUUUUCCUCAGAAAACGUGACUCAUCAAAACGCGCCACCAAGCCGCGUUUUGUGAAGUCGCGUUUCUUCACAUAUCUUGCAGGAUCGAAAACGCGGCUAUGCUUAAAAACGCGACUUCAUGUCGCGUUUCUGAAGGCGCGUUUUCAAUUUUUGAUCAGGCUGGAAAACGCGAAUUGGUAGAAAACGCGACUUCCUGUCGCGUUUUGAAGGCGCGUUUUCUUCAGUAUAGGCGCAGAAUUGAAAACGCGAUUAUGAAAAACGCGAUUCUAAGGCGCGUUUUCAGCCCAAAUGCGUUUUCUUCUGCGAAAUUUUUGCAGAAAGCCAACUUUGAAAAAUUACCAUUGGUAUCCCAACACUCAAAAUGCAUCAUAGAUCAUUUGUUUGUUAAAAUACUCAAUACAUGCACAUGUAAAAUGAUCAAAACAUGCAUUUUAACCCCUUCUAACGAAUCAAAAACAACAAUUACUCAAAUCGAGGGGUUGAGUUUCUUGAUCAAACUUUGCCUUUUUCACCUCAUUUGGUCACUUUUGCUUCCAUUUCCAAUACCUACAAAUGAAAAAUAACAAAAUAACUCAAACACAUACUUUAAACAUAAAAUCACCCCAAAAUAACAUAAACUUAAACAAACAUUGGGUUGCCUCCCAAUAAGCGCUUCUUUAAAGUCAAUAGCUUGACUAUUUCAUCUCAUUUUUCAAGGAGGCUUAGUUAACGAAUAAUCCACCAUUUUAGGCCGUGGUGGAUCAUUAAAAGGUGGCUUUAUCGUGAAAGCCACAUAAUCUAAUGAUGUGAGAAAUGGAAGUGGCUUACCUAUUCCAAGUGUUUCAUAAAUAUUACCUUGAAAAUACACCACUUGAGAACUUACCAACGGGAAUGCCAUGAGAGUAUCUUGGGCAGCAAUACCCUUAGAACCUAUACUUUCAAUGCACUCCUCAAGAGGGGUGAAAAAUGAGUCAUUAAAACUCACCUCUUGGGGCUCAAAAUUAGUUCCAAAAAUAUUAUCUUGUGAAAUGGAUAUUUGCUCAUUAAAACACAAUUGAAAUUCAUCAUUUUCAUCCAAAUGCAAUCCAUUUUCACAUACAACAUUCCUACCAUUCAUGCUAGGAUCAUUUUGCAAAUUUUUAGAGGAAAUAACUUCACACAAUGCAUUCAAUUUCUCUUGUAUUCUACUAAAGUGAGAAGUCAGUUCAUCUAUUCUCUCUUCAACCCUAUCAAAACGGUUGGAAGUUGCAUUAGCUAAUUUUUCUAAAGCUAACUCCCAAAAAGGCUUAGAAUCAUUAGCUACCAUUUCAAUUGCCAACUCCCAAGAUGAUUUUGAUUCAUAUUGGACACAUUCAGGUUGGUAAUCGUAAAAAUAUGAGGAAUUAUUAUAAGUACAUUGAUUAUCCCAACCAUACACAGGAGAAUUGUUCCAAUUAGCACUAUAUUGAUCAAAACAAGGAUUGUAAUGCUCUAAUUCAUCAUAAUAAUCCACAUUUUGUACUUGUAUACAUGUAUUAGUAGCAUGAUAAUCUCCACACAAGUCACAAAUCACAUGAUAAGAAUUAAAAACAUUUGCAUUCCUCAUUUGUUCAAUUUCCUGCACAAUUUUGUCCAUUUGAACUUGUAGCAUCAUAACAUCAAAUUCAGCCUUUAAGCACCUUAUACCAUCUUCAAAAGACAUACCUUCAGUAAUUUCUUGAUUACCUCUGUUGAAGGAGCUUUGCACUUGGUAACCAUCCAUUGCCAAACUUUCAUUUCUCAAGCUUUGUCCUCCCAAUUCACCUAACCUUCUCAUUACCUAAAAUUGCUUUUAAACAACCUCAAAAGCAAAAUUAGUAAGAAAAAUAGGUAAUGAAACACAUACACAUAAAAUAUAAAAAUAACAGAAAAUAACAUUCACAUUAUAACUAAUAUUAUGUCUAAACUAAUAAAGUUGCUCUUCACACCGAUAUUGCCAAAUCUUCCCCGGCAACGGCGCCAAAAACUUGACGUGCGCGGGGUAUACAUAUAAUAUUAAGCUCAUCCCAAUCAAGUUUUACAUUUAUAAAUUCCUAAAUACCCCACACGCGAUUUAUCGCAAGUAUACGAAUCGUGAGCGAGUAUAGGGUAUUAAGGGUCGAUCCCACAGGGAAGAAUGCAAUUACCGAUGUUUUCAAACUCCUUUAUUAUUUAGACUACCACAAAUAUAAAAUUUAAGAAAAUAACACUAGAAAGCUCCUAGAGAUAUGGAAUUCCUUACUACUCUUGCAAAUGAGAUUAUCGGUUAAGUGAAUGCUAUUAUCUUGAUUAGUUAUGGCGUAAUUUCCUAAUGUAUGUGAAACCUACUUUCGUAGUGAAUCAACUAUACUUGUAAUUAAGUCAUACCUACUCUCGUGGUUAUGAAAUUAACUACAAGUUCAUUUCUUCUAUGAAAUUACAUGAAACAAGUCACUUAAGCCGCAUAGGUGCACCUCUACUUUCGUGAGUGUACUCCCUAGGCUUAUCACUUCUUUGAACUAGUGUUAAAUUCCAAUUUUCAUUGCAAACUUAACACCUUAAGAUUAUCAUAAUUAAUGGCCAGUUAAUCAUGAUUAGAUAACCAAAAGUGAUAAAUAGCUUGCUCAAAAUAAUAUGACCAAAUAACCAAAUAAACAUCAUUAACAAAAUAUAGCAAGUUCAACCAUAACUCUAGGCAUAAACUUUAACUAAAUAUAAUAAAAACACAAAGCCAACUUGUAUUAUAAUUAAACAUGAAAUCCAAUAAAAGAGAGAAAGUAGUAGAAGAGAUAUCACCCUUGUCACAUGAGAUCGACCUCUUCAUCUUUGCUCCUCCAAUCUUCAUCCAAAUCUAACUACAAAUACAAGAUAGAUAAACUACUCUACCUAUACUAUACUAAUGAACCAAGGAAACUCUAGUGAAAACUACAUGUCUGGUGAGUUUCUCUAGCCUUCUCCCCAGUUAUCUUGAAUCCUGCAAGUCCAUGGCUAUAUAUAGAUGAAUGCAAUCAGGAAAUGAGGCUUGAAACAUCCCUUUUACAGCUGCUAAUUGAUUGUCAUACGUUCAACCAUAGCUGUAAAUUGUUGAAGGAGAAAACAGGUUGUACCAGCAGCUAUUUCUGACCAGAAUCUGGCUACUUCAACUGCUAUUUUCUCUAUGAUGACGGCUAAAUUAGCUCUUGUGAAAAACAUAGAAGUUGUAGCCCAUUGAAAUAGCUGUCCAAUGCCUCAAGAAUCAUCCAAUUUAGAGCUGUCUAGACCGAGAUAUGAUAAAAAUACCACUGACUGGUCAAUUCCGCGUUUUCAGCUCUCAGCAGCAGACUUUUACUUCUGUAUUUUGACAUUUUGACCAUGAAAACAGCCGAAUUGGACUUUGAUGUCUUCAUACCAAAUGCAGAUAUAUCUCUUAGCUUCAAAAUGGUACCAAGAUCACCUUGAUCCGAUCAUUGUAGCUCCUGAUAUAGUCAAAAUACGAAAAUGUGUCUGAGUUGUCAAAGCUGACUUUUCUUGAUUUUUGUCCUCAAAUUGCAUUUCUUCCUUUUACACUUCAUAUUUUAUUUUCCCCACUUUAAUCCAUCUUCAAUCAUCCAAAUAUCUUCUCAAUGCACUUCAUUUGAUGAUUGAAUCAUUAAACCUACAAAAUAUGAAGUUUUUACCAUAAAAAUCAAUAGAAAUGCAAUUUUCACACUUUA
RNAcentral lists this long non-coding RNA (5918 nucleotides) under Coffea arabica (coffee). Its description in RNAcentral is "long non-coding RNA (CARA_LNC001967)". The record is from RNAcentral. Lineage: Eukaryota; Viridiplantae; Streptophyta; Magnoliopsida; Gentianales; Rubiaceae.